CUGCAAGCCCCCAGCAUGGUUGGGUCUGGGGUGACCCAGCAGUGCUUGAAAGAACAUUGUGAAAUGGUUUGACGCCUUGCUUUGCUCCAUCCAGAGCAAGAUGAUAGAAAUUUCAACAGUU
This 121-nucleotide small nucleolar RNA is filed under the name Vulpes vulpes (red fox). RNAcentral describes it as "Small nucleolar RNA SNORA9 (ENSVVUG00000009698.1)". It matches the Rfam family "Small nucleolar RNA SNORA9". From Rfam's summary of the family: ACA9 is a member of the H/ACA class of snoRNA that guide the sites of modification of uridines to pseudouridines. The record is from Rfam by way of RNAcentral. Lineage: Eukaryota; Metazoa; Chordata; Mammalia; Carnivora; Canidae.